RNAcentral lists this ribosomal RNA (253 nucleotides) under uncultured bacterium. RNAcentral describes it as "partial 16S ribosomal RNA". It matches the Rfam family "Bacterial small subunit ribosomal RNA", at positions 524 to 776 of the family's 1533-position model. The record is from RNAcentral.
UACGUAGGGUGCAAGCGUUGUCCGGAAUUAUUGGGCGUAAAGAGCUCGUAGGCGGUUUGUUGCGUCGGCUGUGAAAUCCCGAGGCUCAACCUCGGGUCUGCAGUCGAUACGAGCAAACUAGAGUGUUGCAGGGGAGACUGGAAUUCCUGGUGUAGCGGUGGAAUGCGCAGAUAUCAGGAGGAACACCGGUGGCGAAGGCGGUUCUCUGGGCAUUUCCUGACGCUGAGGAGCGAAAGUGUGGGGAGCGAACAGG